GAACGCCUUAUGCGGUGAAAGUCGCACGUAGGGUGUGGACCAAGCGAAAUCCUAUGUAUUUAGGAU
RNAcentral lists this unclassified non-coding RNA (66 nucleotides) under Clostridium tetani. The record is from RNAcentral. Lineage: Bacteria; Bacillati; Bacillota; Clostridia; Eubacteriales; Clostridiaceae.